CUUCGGGUUGUAAAGCACUUUCAGUCGUGAGGAAGGUAGUGUAGUUAAUAGCUGCAUUAUUUGACGUUAGCGACAGAAGAAGCACCGGCUAACUCCGUGCCAGCAGCCGCGGUAAUACGGAGGGUGCGAGCGUUAAUCGGAAUUACUGGGCGUAAAGCGCAUGCAGGUGGUUUGUUAAGUCAGAUGUGAAAGCCCGGGGCUCAACCUCGGAAUUGCAUUUGAAACUGGCAGACUAGAGUACUGUAGAGGGGGGUAGAAUUUCAGGUGUAGCGGUGAAAUGCGUAGAGAUCUGAAGGAAUACCGGUGGCGAAGGCGGCCCCCUGGACAGAUACUGACACUCAGAUGCGAAAGCGUGGGGAGCAAACAGGAUUAGAUACCCUGGUAGUCCACGCCGUAAACGAUGUCUACUUGGAGGUUGUGGCCUUGAGCCGUGGCUUUCGGAGCUAACGCGUUAAGUAGACCGCCUGGGGAGUACGGUCGCAAGAUUAAAACUCAAAUGAAUUGACGGCGGCCCGCACAAGCGGUGGAGCAUGUGGUUUAAUUCGAUGCAACGCGAAGAACCUUACCUACUCUUGACAUCCAGAGAACUUUUCAGAGAUGGAUUGGUGCCUUCGGGAACUCUGA
RNAcentral lists this ribosomal RNA (624 nucleotides) under uncultured Vibrio sp. Its description in RNAcentral is "bacterial SSU rRNA". It matches the Rfam family "Bacterial small subunit ribosomal RNA", at positions 416 to 1032 of the family's 1533-position model. The record is from RNAcentral. Lineage: Bacteria; Pseudomonadati; Pseudomonadota; Gammaproteobacteria; Vibrionales; Vibrionaceae.